GUCGAGCUCUUCACCUCCCCACCCCCUUCUCCCUCCUUCCCGAACCCUUCUCUCUCAUUGAGCUCUUCACCUGCCAUCCUCAAAUGUUACUUUUUGCUUUAUAACAAUGUAGUUACCAAACAUACUUUUUACUUUUUUGCUUUUACUCAAUAGUAAAAAUCAAAAAUAAAAAUAAAAAAUAUUUUUUAAAAUUAAAAAUCA
RNAcentral lists this long non-coding RNA (201 nucleotides) under Elaeis guineensis (African oil palm). RNAcentral's name for it is "long non-coding RNA (EGUI_LNC024779)". The record is from RNAcentral. Lineage: Eukaryota; Viridiplantae; Streptophyta; Magnoliopsida; Arecales; Arecaceae.